AGGGAAAUCGUUUAAUUUCAUUUUUAAAUAAUCUGUAAAUAACAAGAACAACAUGUACAAUCACCGCGAGCACGAGAGAAUAGAAAGAUCCCAAAUGAACAACUGAACUGAUCGAGUCUGGUACGGAAACACCUGUUAUGUUACUGCUUUAAAAAGUUACUUUAUAUAUACCAUAUAAAGAGGGGGGGGGGCAUCAUCGAGCUCGGUCCAAUCACACGCUGAUUAUACAGUAACUAUGGCAACCAGCUCCAUCCCAUAAUGAAGUCAUGCAGGGGGGGAAAAUCACACGACUCCCCAGCAAACAAAAGAGCGCGGCACUGCUACAAACAAUAUCAAAACAAACAUUAUGGCCACACGUAAUUAGACAUAAAAAAUAAUUCAAUCAACACGCAUACAGAAGACGAUAAGAGCCCGGAUGAGCUCAUGUCCACGAUGAACUGACGACAGGAGUGAACAUGAGCUCCAACAAGAGCAGCAGAAAAACCAACGUUCUGCGAUCAGCGUUGAAUCGAGUAACGCAACACGACAAAGUGACAAUCGGACCGUCAUAAUCCACAAAGUGCUCCACACUGCACACUUCAUUAACAAAGCUGAAGACGACUUCAUAAGUGACUUUGACCAAGUCAUUUACGAACCUAACAAAGUCACGUAACAUUUGGAAUCCACUUUGUCAACAAACUUCGUAAAAUGAUGUCGUUAUAAUCAACAAAGUUGGCUUGGUUAGACUGACUUCUUAGCGACUUUUGCAAAUCAUUUUCAACAAAGUCAUUUAUGAACUCGAUGUUACACAACUAAGUUGUGCGCUACUAGGUUGACUUUGAAAAAGACUUCGUAUAAUCAACAAAGUUGACUUCAUUAGACUUGACUUCAGCAAUGUCAACUUCAACAAAGGCAUUUACGAACUUGAUCUUACACAACUAAAUUGUGCGAAAACCACUUUGCCGUGAAUCAUGAAUGUAACUUAGGUUGACUUCGCAAAUUACUUCGUCAAAAUCAACUUUGUUACAUCGGCUUCAUUAUACGAAUGCUGUCUAUGUUGCAAGUUCACAACUUUGUUGCAUAACUAAAAGUUGACUUCGUAAAUAACUGCUAUUGUCAACAAAGCUGUUUGCGUCACUUUUCAACGACAGUUGUAUUGUAGUAAAAACACCUUUUGUAACUAUGGUUAUCAUUGUAACUAGACACGAACUUCGUAACAUCAAUGUUGACUCUGUAACAUGACUUCGUAACCAGUGCAACAGUGUUGAUUACCGCCAUUUUGUCGCAUUGCGUCGUUCACUCUUGUGUAGACGAUGAACUAAUGACAAUCAAACAUUAGUGAAGAUGAAUAUAAAGUGAUUAGCAAUUGCGAAAAAUCAACAGAAUAAACCUUCGGCAUUUAUAAAGUAAAUAUUACUCUAGUCUACAUGACGGCAUCCGUACACAAACACCAUCGCUUACACACUCUCUCUCUCUCUCUCACACACACACACACAAUCUGUUUGUUCAGAUUGCUGUGAUAUGAGUGGGGUCUUCUUUGUUAUUAUUAUCGUUAUUAUUAUCAUAGGAUGCUAAUCACAAUAAGACAAACACCGUAAUGCUCAGGAGGGAGAUCUCAUUUGGUUUAAGUUGCUAUUUACAUAAUCCAGU
This is a long non-coding RNA of Sinocyclocheilus rhinocerous, 1629 nucleotides long. RefSeq lists it as uncharacterized. Lineage: Eukaryota; Metazoa; Chordata; Actinopteri; Cypriniformes; Cyprinidae. The record is from RefSeq and is a predicted model, not a curated record. The transcript has 2 exons.